Molecule: ribosomal RNA, 397 nt
Filed under: uncultured beta proteobacterium
Lineage: Bacteria; Pseudomonadati; Pseudomonadota; Betaproteobacteria
Description: bacterial SSU rRNA
Rfam family: Bacterial small subunit ribosomal RNA
Source: RNAcentral
GAGUUUGAUCGUGGCUCAGAGCGAACGCUGGCGGAAUGCUUUACACAUGCAAGUCGAGCGGCAGCGCGGGGCAACCUGGCGGCGAGCGGCGAACGGGUGAGUAAUACAUCGGAACGUGCCCAGUCGUGGGGGAUAACGUAGCGAAAGCUACGCUAAUACCGCAUACGAUCUCUGGAUGAAAGCGGGGGACCGCAAAGGCCUCGCGCGAUUGGAGCGGCCGAUGGCAGAUUAGGUAGUUGGUGGGGUAAAGGCUCACCAAGCCGACGAUCUGUAGCUGGUCUGAGAGGAUGACCAGCCACAUUGGGACUGAGACACGGCCCAAACUCCUACGGGAGGCAGCAGUGGGAAUCUUGCGCAAUGGGCGAAAGCCUGACGCAGCCAUGCCGCGUGAAUGAUG